Molecule: small RNA, 815 nt
Filed under: Pongo abelii (Sumatran orangutan)
Lineage: Eukaryota; Metazoa; Chordata; Mammalia; Primates; Hominidae
Description: processed transcript
Source: RNAcentral
GGCUUGCUCUCGGGCAGAUCCCCACCCCCACCACUCCCACACAGCUCUUCCUCAGGGACUGCUAAGGGUCUACCCUCCCACCUGCAUUGCUCUACAAUCUGGCCUCAGCUCUUGCCAACUCUGCCUGUUCCCCCGCUGACUGGGCCUCUGCAGAGAUGUGGGCAGCUGGUCAGGAUGGCCAUUCGGGCUCAGCACAGCAACGCAGCCCAGACUCAGACUGGGGAAGCAAACAGGGGCUGGACAGGCCAGGAGAGCCUGUCGGACAGUGAUCCUGAGAUGUGGGAGUUGCUACAGAGGGAGAAGGACAGGCAGUGUCGUGGCCUGGAGCUCAUUGCCUCAGAGAACUUCUGCAGCCGAGCUGCGCUGGAGGCCCUGGGGUCCUGUCUGAACAACAAGUACUCGGAGGGUUAUCCUGGCAAGAGAUACUAUGGGGGAGCAGAGGUGGUGGAUGAAAUUGAGCUGCUGUGCCAGCGCCGGGCCUUGGAAGCCUUUGACCUGGAUCCUGCACAGUGGGGAGUCAAUGUCCAGCCCUACUCCGGGUCCCCAGCCAACCUGGCCGUCUAUACAGCCCUUCUGCAACCUCACGACCGGAUCAUGGGGCUGGACCUGCCCGAUGGGGGCCAUCUCACCCACGGCUACAUGUCUGACGUCAAGCGGAUAUCAGCCACGUCCAUCUUCUUCGAGUCUAUGCCCUAUAAGCUCAACGGCUUUAGCUGUUUGUGUGUCUGUCCAGCCCAAAACUGGCCUCAUUGACUAUGACCAGCUGGCACUGACUGCUCGACUUUUCCGACCGCGGCUCAUCAUAGCUGGCACCA